Molecule: long non-coding RNA, 281 nt
Filed under: Elaeis guineensis (African oil palm)
Lineage: Eukaryota; Viridiplantae; Streptophyta; Magnoliopsida; Arecales; Arecaceae
Description: long non-coding RNA (EGUI_LNC060696)
Source: RNAcentral
GAGUUUAGAUGUGGGGGAACUCUUGGAUGCCCAAGGGUUGGAUGCCCUAACCCCUUAUCCUAUAAAGGAGGUUCACACCUCAUCUUAAGGUGGGAAUAAAGUGGAGAAGCAACACGCCCAAGGGUUGGAGUGUGGUAAGAAAAAAAAGGGCCGGAGAUCAUGCCAAAGGGCCUUCAACACCUCAUCUCUCUCUUUCUCUCUUACACACCCAAAAGUUGGGCACAUGCUCAAAGGAAAAGGAAAAAGGGAGCAUUUGAUUUCCUUGGGAAGGGAAGCAAUAG